This 406-nucleotide ribosomal RNA is filed under the name uncultured bacterium. RNAcentral describes it as "partial 16S ribosomal RNA". It matches the Rfam family "Bacterial small subunit ribosomal RNA", at positions 29 to 526 of the family's 1533-position model. The record is from RNAcentral.
AUUGAACGCUGGCGGCAGGCCUAACACAUGCAAGUCGAACGAGUGGCGGACGGGUGAGUAAUGUCUGGGAAACUGCCUGAUGGAGGGGGAUAACUACUGGAAACGGUAGCUAAUACCGCAUACCCUCAGAUGUGCCCAGAUGGGAUGAGCUGGUUGGUGUGGUAACGGCUCACCAAGGCGACGAUCCCUAGCUGGUCUGAGAGGAUGAACAGCCACACGGGAACGGAGACAGGGCCCAGACUCAUACGGGAGGCAGAAGUGGGGAAUAUUGCAAAAUGGGCGAAAGCCUGACGCAGCACUGCCGCGUGUAUGAAGAAGGCCUUCGGGUUGUAAAGUCCUUUCAGCGGGGAGGCGUUACCCGCAGAAGAAGCAACGGCUAACUCCGUGCCAGCAGCCGCGGUAAUAC